Molecule: ribosomal RNA, 429 nt
Filed under: Gemmatimonadota bacterium
Lineage: Bacteria; Pseudomonadati; Gemmatimonadota
Description: Gemmatimonadetes bacterium partial 16S ribosomal RNA
Rfam family: Bacterial small subunit ribosomal RNA
Source: RNAcentral
UAGGGAAUCUUCGGCAAUGGACGAAAGUCUGACCGAGCAACGCCGCGUGAGUGAAGAAGGUUUUCGGAUCGUAAAACUCUGUUGUUAGAGAAGAACAAGGACGUUAGUAACUGAACGUCCCCUGACGGUAUCUAACCAGAAAGCCACGGCUAACUACGUGCCAGCAGCCGCGGUAAUACGUAGGUGGCAAGCGUUGUCCGGAUUUAUUGGGCGUAAAGCGAGCGCAGGCGGUUUCUUAAGUCUGAUGUGAAAGCCCCCGGCUCAACCGGGGAGGGUCAUUGGAAACUGUGAGACUUAAGUGCAGAAGAGGAGAGUGGAAUUCCAUGUGUAGCGGUGAAAUGCGUAGAUAUAUGGAGGAACACCAGUGGCGAAGGCGGCUCUCUGGUCUGUAACUGACGCUGAGGCUCGAAAGCGUGGGGAGCAAACAGG